This is an RNA transcript of Musa acuminata AAA Group (dessert banana), 3618 nucleotides long. It is a transcript of the gene named 26S proteasome regulatory subunit 4 homolog, with no coding region annotated. The transcript has 10 exons. The record is from RefSeq and is a predicted model, not a curated record. Lineage: Eukaryota; Viridiplantae; Streptophyta; Magnoliopsida; Zingiberales; Musaceae.
CGAAUAAAGGCCUCGAUUCGACGUCUUUCUUCUUGCCCGUUGGCGAAGCCUUCCUCUUCUCUUCUCGGCCUCGAACACCUCGGGAACCCUCGAAACCCUAGGAUCCAUGCAUGGGCCAGGGAACCCCGGCGGCAUGGGGGAGCAGGGCCUCCCCGGCGAUAAGAAGGACAGGAAGUUCGAGCGGCGGCCCCGCCGUCCCGCGUCGGCCGGAAGCAGUGCAAGCAGAAGGGUCCCGAGGACGCUGCUCGCCUCCCUGUCGUUACGCUCCUCUCCAAGUGCCGCCUCCGCCUCCUCAAGCUCGAGCGCGUCAAGAACUACCCCUUCAUGGAGGAGGAGUUCGUCGCCAACCAGGAGCGCCUCCGCCCCCAGGAGGAGAAGAACGAGGAGGACCGAUCCAAGGUCGACGACCUCCGGGGGUCGCCGAUGAACGUUGGGAAUCUAGAGGAGCUCAUUGAUGAGAGAUCCAUGCCAUUGUUUCCUCGUCGGUCGGGCCGGAGUACUACGUUAGCAUCCUGUCCUUUGUCGACAAGGAUCAGCUGGAACCGGGAUGUGCGAUCCUUAUGCAUACCAAGGUCUUAUCUGUUGUUGGGCUUGUUCAUGAUGAAGUUGAUCCUAUGGUUUCUGUUAUGAAAGUUGAAAAAGCUCCUUUGGAAUUGUAUGCUGAUAUUGGUGGCUUAGAUGCACAAAUUCAAGAAAUUUAAAGAAUCAGUUGAACUUCCUCUGACACAUCCAGAGCUGUAUGAAAAUAUUGGAAUUAGACCUCCCAAGGGAGUCAUAUUAUAUGGAGAGCCUGGAACUGGUAAAACUUUACUUGCCAAGGCAGUGGCUAACUCAACAUCAGCAACUUUCUUAUGCAUUGUUGGAAGUGAGCUGAUUCAGAAAUAUUUGGGUGAUGGUCCAAAACUUGUCAGAGAACUCUUAGAGUGGCAGGUGAAUUCUCUCCUUCCAUAGUAUUUAUUGAUGACAUAGAUGCAAUUGGCACCAAAAGAUAUGAUGCUCAUUCUGGUGGUGAGCAUGAGACACAGAGAACCAUGUUGGAGUUGCUUAACUGGUUUGAUGGUUUUGACUCAUGGGGGGAUGUUUAGGUCAUUCUUGUGACCAACAGAAUUGAAAUCCUUGAUCCAGCCUUGCUUCAGCUUGGUUGUAUUGAUAGGAAGAUUGAAUUUCCAUUGCCAGAUAUUAAAACAAGAUGAUGUAUUUUUCAGAUACAUACCUCUAGAAUGACACUGGCGGAUGAUGUCAAUCUUGAAGAGUUUGCAAUGACGAAAGAUGAGUUUUCUGGAGCUGAUAUAAAGGUGAUCUGUACUGAAGCUGGCUUGCUUGCUUUAAGAGAACGCAGGAUGAAGGUAACUCAUGCUGACUUCAAGAAGGCCAAGGAAAAGGUAAUGUUUAAGAAGCAGGAAGGUGUGCCAGAGGGACUUUACAUGUAACUGAUGGUCUUGCCUGUUGAAAAUUAAGGAAAGAACUCAAAACUAGAACUGGCAAUUCAGUAGCAUGAUUGCUUUGACUUCUGGAACACUUGAGGGAAUUGAUGGGAAUCAGAUGGAAUUGGUGAAAUGGAAUAGUGCACUGAUCCGGUAAACGUUGCUCAUACUACAUGAUGGUUAAGAGAUUGUCUUACGAGGGAACUGUGAUGACCCAUCAGAUAGUGUGCCCCUUUAACAUGGAAUUCAGUGAUUGGCUUUUCUUAAUGUUCCCUUUGUUCUCACUUGGGUUGCAGUUGUACUCUGAAAAUGAAGUUAAAGGGAGAAACCAGAAAGCCUCAAACUUCUAGUUGGACAGUCUGCAGAAGAUUUGCUGGACUCGAUUCAUCGUGGAAGUGUAUACACCACGCAUUCUGCUUAUUAAAGAUCAUUCGAUGGGUGAUUGGACAAGUCAGCAUAAAUAUGCAGGUUUGCAGAGCUUUCUGCUGACCACCGUGCUAUUGGAAGCCACUGUGCAUUCCUGAGUCCAUAAUAUUUGGUGGUGGUGGUGGUGGUGGUGUUAUGUCCACCCUCUGCAGGUAUGCACCACGCAUUCUUCUUAUUAAAUAUCUUUCGAUUGGUGAUUGGACAAGUCAGCAUAAAUAUGCAGGUUUGCAGAGCUUUCUGCUGACCACCGAGCUACAGGAAGCCACUGUGUGGGGCCCCCUUACACUAAAAGAGGAAAAUUCUAAAAACUAAAUUACUUAAGUAUCCCUCCAUAGGAGUGAGUACUUUUUGUUUUUAUUUUUUUGUUAGAAGUGGAUAUAUAUAUAUAUAUAUAUAUAUAUAUAUAUAUUGGAAUCAAUGUUGACAUGUGUUAAAUUUCUUAAUAUGCUAUAUCAAAAAUUAUAAGUUCGAAACUUUUUAUAAGUAAAUUAUGCACCUCAUAAAUGUUAUUAAAGGGGCCUUUUUUUUCUGAAAAAUAUCCAAUUUUCGUUUCUUUUUUUCUUUAUUUUUCACAUAAUCUCUCUUACAUGAGAAGAGGCAAAAAGAAAAAAAUAAUCUUUUUGCCUCGGGAGAUUUCAAAAUUAUCUGAAACGAAAAAGGAAAUAGCUUAUCAUUAGGGAUUUUAAUUCCUAAUUCCAAAUGCAUGUAACUAUCAAUAUCAUGUCUUGCCUUUGAUUGAAUUAUUGCCCUAUGCUUUAAUCUAAAAAUCAUUUUCCUUAUAUAUCGCUAUCUAUUUCAUACGGUACUCAUUUAUUGCCCUACCUGCUUUUUAAUCAUGUUUGCUGAAUGCUUAGUUCCUUUGGUUCUUCUAGCUCUAAACAAACGGCAUCUACUUUUGAUACAUUAACUCUUCUUAUUUUCAAUAUAAAAUAAGAGAUGCAAUAUUCAUAGUAUGAUCAGAUGCAUCCAAUUAAUGAGGAAAAAAACGCUUUUUUUGUAAUUAAAAGAUAUAGGGCAUAUGUCUCUUCUUGAGAAUGUACAAUUAUCUGCUUUUCUCAUUCUACCCAUAGUUUUCUUCCUUUUAUGCCCCUGUCGGUGUUCAUAUGUUGACUAACAUUGGAGACAUAUUGGUUGGUCAACAUCUUAUAAAAAUAUGAUUUGCUGUCAUAAACAAACAAACUAACAAAAAAGAAAAACUUGAAUCUGUAUUAUAGAUUCGUUCAUCCGCCAAUUAAUUUUGGGCACCUUUAGUUUUCUUCACACUUUAUUGUGGGUGUUGCUUAAUUACCCAUACAGUUAGAUGUCCUUAUCAUAAUCAUCUGUAUGUGAUAAAACUUGGAUCGAACAAAAAAAAAUAUAUAUAUUAUUUUUUAUUGUAAGAAUGAAAGAGAAAGAAACCACAUCACGGGGUUCAUAUGCUGUUUAGGAAUCACCCAAUUGAACGAAAAAUGUGCAUGUCAAUUAUUUGCAGGGUGCAUUUACGAUCACUAAUUUGUUCGAAGUAUCACUGCUAAGUCUCGUCUCGAUCCAUGGAACCUCCGCCAAUGUCGUCCUUUCCUACAGUAGGUGUUCCGAAGCGAAAGGUAACCACCAGACGCCGACAGGUCUUCUCCCUCUGCUGUUGGCUUUUCUCAGUGCCCAUCUGCAGACCUCUUCCUCAUCUUUCCCGGUCUAUAACUUGGGGUCGAGUCCACGGCAGAAGCAACAGCAGGAGAGGAGGAGAAAGAAGAAGAAUAGAAAAAGAGAGGAGGAGGAGGAGGAGGAAGAG